GCCACCAUAGCUUAGGGGUAGAGCGGCUGACUUGUAAUCAGCAGGUCGGGAGUUCAAAUCUCCCUGGUGGCUCCA
This 75-nucleotide transfer RNA is filed under the name Methanomassiliicoccales archaeon. Its description in RNAcentral is "tRNA-Thr". It matches the Rfam family "tRNA". From Rfam's summary of the family: Transfer RNA (tRNA) molecules are approximately 80 nucleotides in length. Their secondary structure includes four short double-helical elements and three loops (D, anti-codon, and T loops). Further hydrogen bonds mediate the characteristic L-shaped molecular structure. tRNAs have two regions of fundamental functional importance: the anti-codon, which is responsible for specific mRNA codon recognition, and the 3' end, to which the tRNAs corresponding amino acid is attached (by aminoacyl-tRNA synthetases). tRNAs cope with the degeneracy of the genetic code in two manners: having more than one tRNA (with a specific anti-codon) for a particular amino acid; and 'wobble' base-pairing, i.e. permitting non-standard base-pairing at the 3rd anti-codon position. Lineage: Archaea; Methanobacteriati; Thermoplasmatota; Thermoplasmata; Methanomassiliicoccales. The record is from RNAcentral.